Molecule: long non-coding RNA, 309 nt
Filed under: Vulpes vulpes (red fox)
Lineage: Eukaryota; Metazoa; Chordata; Mammalia; Carnivora; Canidae
Description: lncRNA (ENSVVUG00000021869.1)
Source: RNAcentral
CUAACAUGUCAGGAUGACCAAGUUGUCCCUGUAAGAGGAGUAGCAUGGAGUAGCAAAAAAGAGCAAGAAUCAAAAGGAAGUGGAGAGGCUACACAGACCCAGGCUCCCACGAACCCCCUGUGCCCCCUGGUUUUCGGAAAUGUUGCUCUUUGGCCCAGCAGCCCAAGCCCGGGCCCAGGCAUCCCGGCCCUGUUAGGUGCAGCUGGUCUCGGGCCCGUCUCAGGUAAGUAACGGGCACGUUGGGCUGCAAUUUCUAUUCCUGAAUAGGCCUCCUAUCUCAGAGUCAUGCUUCAACAAACACUCAAUUAA